This is a non-coding RNA of Desmophyllum pertusum, 77 nucleotides long. The record is from the annotation of a GenBank genome assembly. Lineage: Eukaryota; Metazoa; Cnidaria; Anthozoa; Scleractinia; Caryophylliidae.
UCCUUCAUAGCUCAGUGGUAAACAAUUUUUACUUCCUUCGUAAAAGUCAUGGGUUCGAAUGCCGUUGAAGUCUAGAU